GAAAUUAUAUCAUCACAAUUGCAAACCAUGAUUUUGUGUUCACACCAGCUUCCACAAUCUUACAGAGGAGAGCAUUUAUGGGAAUCAUCCAUGGGUAACCGACGACGAGGAAUUACAAUAUGUGAAGGAUUUCCACCAGUUUGAAUGAAACGAAUUGGAAUGAGCUACUAUUUCUGACAUAUGAAAAAAUUGCCAUUUUUUGCCUGUUUCCAAAUAUGUGCAAGAAGUAUACAGGGAUUGAAAGCUGAGAAAGAGACAAAAAUCCCUUUCCAUUGUUACAUAUUAUAUGACAGUGAGGCUAUCAAUAGUGUAAUAAUGAUAAACAUGUGAAGUGUUUGCUAAUAAAACAUGAUAAAUUUUC
Molecule: long non-coding RNA, 361 nt
Organism: Ostrea edulis (European flat oyster)
Lineage: Eukaryota; Metazoa; Mollusca; Bivalvia; Ostreida; Ostreidae
Exons: 2
Source: RefSeq, a predicted model, not a curated record